UCUUCCUCACCCACUCAUCCCCUCAGACUCCCAGCUCCCAACGCGGCGGCGCCUCCAACUCCCCACGUCUUGCUCCACAUCCUUUCCGUUCCUUGCUGCCCGCGCCCUAGGCCCUCAUCCUCCGUCACCCUAGCCACGGACUGCAGCCAGCUCCCGGCCAUGGGGGCUUGCAGGUGCGAGAUCCGGCUGCUGUGGACCAAGAUUCGGCCGCAGCGGUGAUGGAUCGGAAGCCGGCGGCGCGGUCCCUCACGGGCUCGGCGGCGUGGAUCCAGGAGGCCCUGCUGCCCGCGAGCUCCCUAGGCGGCGAUCUCCACAACAUCUGCUUCCUCCUCCACGACGCAGGCUUCCCCUCCGAGGCAUCUGUUGACUCGCGUGGGGCUGCAGUGUGGCCAGAUCUGGCGUGGGAGGCGAAGCCCCGAGCCCAGCGUGGAGGCGGCGCGCGGGGGUCGCCCGGAGCAGCCAUGCGCGGCAGCCGGACCUCAGGAUGGACGGCCAGGGCGCUCGUGGAUCCAGGGCCGUGGUAUGCAUAAUGGAGUUCUCCAGGGGCGGGGUAUGCACGCCUCUCCCCCAAGUCGUGCCCUCUCCUCGGAUCUCUCCGUCCGCCCCCUUCCUAGAGCCUUGAAUCUGCGCUCUCGAACCGGUGGAUUUCCUCUGCGCUCUCGAACCGGUGGGUUUCCUCUCCUUUCUUCCUUUCGAUUUCUUCUCACCACCCGCAUUGCCCCGUCUUGAACCGUGAGCAGAUCCCCAUGGCGGCGCUAGAGUCGAAACUGGUGCAGCUACAGUCCAAGGCGUGCGAGACGACGAGGUUCUCCAAGCAGCUCUCCAAGGUCAGUGCGAACCGUGACCAUCCAGAAGAGCCAGGAGCUCUCCAAGCAGCUCUUCUACACCCGCCUCGCAAGGUCCUUGUUACCUGCCCUAUACGCCCAGUCCUAUCCACCUGUUUGUUACUGCUGUUCAAACUAUUGUUUGUUCCCUAAUUCCCUUUCUUGUUGUGUAACUUUAUUGAUAAUAAUGACAUAACCAUUUUACCAUCAGUGCAUAAUAUCUAGUGAAAUUAACUUUAAGGAAAUUGCUUUUCCGACGGUAUGACAUACAGGCCUCACCUAAAAUAAUAGGUGGCAUUACUUUCUUGCGGUCUUGAAAAUGAGUCGGUGUACCUUGAGAUAUAAACUUAUGGCACAAUUUUUUGAAUCAUAUUCACAUAUUUAUAAACCCUUGAUAAAUACAAUUGCUUUGUCUUAUAUUUUCAUUUCCUUGCAGAAGUUGGUCUGAGCAUUAUAAAGCUGUAUAGUUGUUACCCACUGAUUGUAUACCAAGAAGGCAUAAUUGUUAGAUAAUCACUUCUUUCCUUUUCACCUACGGGCUUUCAGUUAAUAUUUCCAUUUUUACUUAUCCAACAAUUGUUUGUAUAGGCUAAAGACACAAGCGGGUGUUACAGCAACAUGGAGUAGCACUAGCAUGGAAGCUAAUAUGCAUUUGUAUUAACCAGCUCAAGUGGAUUUUGAUUGAUUCGAUUGCUACAUGUAUGUUGCUGGAAAACUUAUGUUGUAUGCAUGUAUAUUUGUGCUGGAAUCGCUUAUUGUAAUUUUUGGGCUGGAACUUUUGUUUUGAAAAGUGAGUUGUGAAAACCGGUUGUAUGGGCUGUAUAUAAAGUUAAAUUUGUUUAGUUGCUAGUUAAUUGUGUGAGAAUUAGGCCCAACUUAGUGGCCCAUUCUGAAUUGCGCCCAUUCAUAAAUGGGAUGGGAUGCUGAUGUCAUCAUGUCGUUGCCAAGUCAGCGGUCAUGUCAUUGGCCACGUCAUUGUCAUGUCAUCAGCUAUGUCAAUAUACAUGUCAUCAUUGCUAUUCACGUCAUCGCCAAGUCAACAGCCACGUCAUCUGCCAUGUCAUCAAUGCGUGACAUGGCAAUUGAAUCUAUGACGAAAAUUAUAUUAUUUAUGAUGUUUAUUUUUGUCAUAGAAAAUGGAUUUGGGUUGGGCUUUGGGGGCCCAGGGAUAUUUUAUGACGGUUUCGAAAUGUCAUGGAUCAAGCAAUUUAUGACGAAAAUUUAAGGAACGUCACGAGGUGUGAUCUAUGACGCUCAAUAUAUGACGUUAUUUGAGAUCGUCAUAGAUACUGUUUUAUGACGGUAUUUUAGUAAUCUAUGACGAAAUUUAAUUGUCAUGGAUCAACAGAUUUUUUGUAGUGCUUUGACUUCUACUCUUCACAUGAUGAUGAUCAGAAUCCUCCAACAAUCAGCAGGAGUGGAUAAACCAAAUAUUGGCUAUGGUGCUCCAACUCUGAUAGAUGUGACCACUGGGAGAAAACACAAAGUAUCUUACACCAAGGUGACAACUCGUAAGAAAAAGAAAUCUCCAGGCCAAUCUUCAGCAGCAGCAGUACUUUAAAUAGAUGUUCCAGUCAAUCUUCCUUCUUCCUCUUCAGAAGAUACCCCUGAACACCAAUCCAAAGAAGAAGAAAAUCUUCAGAACACACCUCCUCCUCCAUCACCCAUCAUUCAGAUACAGCAUUCGCCUCCAACUCCCAGGAAAUCCAGGGAGGACUCUCCAUUGAUACAGCCAAACACUGCAAUCCCGAGCUCUUCAUCACAACCCCUCGUCCCUGGUGGCUCUAAUCUAGAAGAAACACGCCUGAAGCAGAGUCCCCGGACAACAGUCUAUUCUCCUUCUAAAUCGGAGCUACUUCUCAGGAAGAAGGAGAAGAAACAACAUUGGCCGAUUCAGCUAUAUUAUCAGAUGAAAUCAAGGCCAGACUCCAAGAAUCCCUCCAAUUUCUGAAUCAAGACAUCGGCCAACUAAUCAAGGAUGCACAACCGAUCUGCGCCAUCUUGGAAGAACUGGAGGGUAAACUCCCAGAAGCAAUCGAAGAUGCACUAACUCCUGCAGCCUUCAUCGAGAGCCAUCGCGCACAAUUCAACAAGGCUCAGAAACAACUGUAUGAACUUCUGCCAUUAAUAAUGAAGAUGAUGUGAAGCUAAAAACAUAUCUAAACCGGCUCUUGAGAUAACAAAAGUGUUACUCCAAAA
This is a long non-coding RNA of Panicum virgatum (switchgrass), 3023 nucleotides long. RefSeq lists it as uncharacterized. The transcript is spliced from 5 exons. Lineage: Eukaryota; Viridiplantae; Streptophyta; Magnoliopsida; Poales; Poaceae. The record is from RefSeq and is a predicted model, not a curated record.